CACAGCUAAUUAAACAGAAGAAGGAUGAAUUAUCAGAGCGUAAAGAUUAGUUAAUUAAUCUUCUCCCAAUUCUUGUUAUAAUAUAUGUUGAAUCUAUUAUAUUAAAUAUUAACCACAUUCUUGAAUCUAACGAAGUGUAAUGAAACAUCUUUACUUCUGUAGUAUAAAUUAAUAAUAUACAAUUUAUUAGUGGCACACUUAUUUUUCAAACAAAUGAUCAUUGAAAUAAUACAUAUAUCUUAUGAUCAAACAAUCCUUUUGCGCUGCCAUUAUUUAGGCAAACGUUACUAUCCAAUACAAAACAUACAUUUCUGGUUUUUAUGCAAUCUACUGGUACACAAGAAACGAACUUCUUCGGUUGACCGGUAAUGUGUGAAAUGCAUGUACAUAUCUUUGAGAUGGGUGUGUACAGAAUGGCGCUGUCAAUUGACCAGCUGUCGGCGUCCACCAUAGCAAACUGAUCUCUUUAGUUUAUAGAAUAUGCUAACUAUUGACCUUGCUAAAGUACAGAAUUAAAAUUUGUAUCAGCAACAAAAUCGGAAUAAACACACAAUUGUCGUUUUAUAUAUUA
Molecule: non-coding RNA, 571 nt
Organism: Megalopta genalis
Lineage: Eukaryota; Metazoa; Arthropoda; Insecta; Hymenoptera; Halictidae
Source: RefSeq, a predicted model, not a curated record